Non-coding RNA from Vicugna pacos (alpaca), 214 nucleotides. The record is from RefSeq and is a predicted model, not a curated record. NCBI's taxonomy places the organism in Eukaryota, Metazoa, Chordata, Mammalia, Artiodactyla, Camelidae.
UACUAUAUACUAAAUACUAUAUACAAAAUAGAUAAACAACAAGUUUAUGCUGUGUAGCACAGGGAACUAUAUUCAUUAUCUUACAGUAACUUCUGGUGAAAGAUAGUAUGAAAAUGAAUAUAUGUAUGUUCCUAUAUGACUGAAGCAUUGUGCUUUACACCAGAAAUUGACACAUUGUAAACUGACUAUACUUCAAUAAAAAUAUAUUAAAAAA